This is a long non-coding RNA of Sciurus carolinensis (gray squirrel), 389 nucleotides long. RefSeq lists it as uncharacterized. The transcript is spliced from 3 exons. Lineage: Eukaryota; Metazoa; Chordata; Mammalia; Rodentia; Sciuridae. The record is from RefSeq and is a predicted model, not a curated record.
UCCAGGUGAGCGGCUAUGCAUGAGAUCCAGGAACCAAUGCAUUUUCUCCUAUGAAAUGUGAGGGAGAAAUUUUCUAACAGCAUUAUACAGGGUCCCAGGCAACAGACAAUGGACAACUGAGCUGCACCUUGAAAUAUGAAUGAAUGUGGGUUUGGUUUGAAAAGCUAAGACAUCUGUUUAUCCAGUGCAUACAGAAUAACUCUCAUGUCUCCUCAUCUCUGAAGAUUUCAAAGGCUUUCAUUCUGGUUUAAAUCCUUUGAAGAAGCAGUAAUCAAAGACAAAAAUUAUCAGAGGUUCUGGAAUCCAUGCCUGCCUCUCAGCUACACCAACCUUCAAAACUAUUGCUCAGCUGAAGCCUCAAAUCGGCCCCCUCUGAUUUAACAAACACC